AGUGGACGCUGGCGGCGUGCGUAAUACAUGCAAGUCGAACGGAAUUUAAGAGGGCUUGCUCUUUUAAAUUUAGUGGCGCACGGGUGAGUAAUAUAUAGCUAAUCUGCCCCUUGCUGGAGGACAACAGUUAGAAAUGACUGCUAAUACUCCAUACUCCUUUUUACCAUAAGAUAAAUCGGGAAAGAAUUUCGGCAAGGGAUGAGACUAUAUCGUAUCAGCUAGUCGGUGGGGUAACGGCCUACCGAGGCUAUGACGCGUAACUGGUCUGAGAGGAUGAUCAGUCACAUUGGAACUGAGACACGGUCCAAACUCCUACGGGAGGCAGCAGUAGGGAAUAUUGCGCAAUGGGGGAAACCCUGACGCAGCAACGCCGCGCGGAGGAUGACACUUUUUCGGAGCGUGAACUCCUUUUGUUAGGGAAGAAUAAUGACGGUACCUAACGAAUAAGCACCGGCUAACUCCGUGCCAGCAGCCGCGCUAAUACGGAGGGUGCAAGCGUUACUCGGAAUCACUGGGCGUAAAGAACGCGUAGGGGGAUUAUCAAGUCUCUUGUGAAAUCUAACGGCUUAACCGUUAAACUGCUUGGGAAACUGAUAAUCUAGAGUAAGGGAGAGGCAGAUGGAAUCUUGGUGUAGGGGUAAAAUCCGUAGAUAUCAAGAAGAAUACCUAUUGCGAAGCGAUCUGCUGGAACUUAACUGACGCUAAUGCGUGAAAGCGUGGGGAGCAAACAGG
This 732-nucleotide ribosomal RNA is filed under the name uncultured Campylobacter sp. RNAcentral's name for it is "bacterial SSU rRNA". It matches the Rfam family "Bacterial small subunit ribosomal RNA", at positions 28 to 776 of the family's 1533-position model. The record is from RNAcentral. Lineage: Bacteria; Pseudomonadati; Campylobacterota; Epsilonproteobacteria; Campylobacterales; Campylobacteraceae.